GUACGUCACGGACUUGCUAUGUGGAGAGAGAAAUCACACGGGGGUCUUGCUGGAAGGAGAGAGACCGGUGCUGGGAUGAGACCUGCCUGCCCUCCAUCCCUGUGCUACAGACAAGGCACAGAACAGCACUGGGCCCAUGGUGCCAUCUCCCCUGCCCGUGACUCUGCCACCAAGUCCACGAAGCAGCACCCAGCCGGCCCCAGACCCGGCUCCACGCCCCCCUCCGCCCCCAGUGCACCUGCCGCCGCC
This 249-nucleotide long non-coding RNA is filed under the name Homo sapiens (human). RNAcentral's name for it is "HSALNT0226387". Lineage: Eukaryota; Metazoa; Chordata; Mammalia; Primates; Hominidae. The record is from RNAcentral.